RNAcentral lists this unclassified non-coding RNA (1811 nucleotides) under Limulus polyphemus (Atlantic horseshoe crab). RNAcentral's name for it is "f-box/LRR-repeat protein 3-like, transcript variant X1". The record is from RNAcentral. Lineage: Eukaryota; Metazoa; Arthropoda; Merostomata; Xiphosura; Limulidae.
GGCACUUACCUCCUCUCACAUUUCCUCCCCACUACCAGUGCUGUUCUUUUAGAUCCUCACAAUAUGGGUGGUGCAAUACUAUUGGUGGAGAGUAGUCACAUGAUAUGUACAUAUUCAAUAGUGGCGUGAAAUUGGUAGGGAAUAGAGACUGGUGCACUGAACAUCAAAAUGUUUUUAGCAAUGCAUAGAGGGCAGAAAGAAGACUGAGAUAGCUUUGUGUAAGAAGAGCUAAGUACCAAUUGGAAAUACAUUUUCAGUUUAAGAAAAUGCUAACUUUUGAACAAUUAUUGUAUCUUUUCAGUAGUGCCAUUCAGGAUAUUUAUAACAAAUGUUCUUUAGCUACUGAAUACACAACAUGAGAGAUGUGUGGUAAAGUAUAUGAUGAUGAUGCUUAUGUAACAUCACUGUACUUUUAGGAGGUAGAACAAAUGGUUUUAGUUAUGCACCUUAGUGGCCAGUACUGCAAACAAUAAGGCACAGAAUGUACUGCAUGAAAUUUGAGCCAGUAAUCCACAUACAACAUGAGUAUUGACACAAGUACAACAAAAGGCACAAUGUAUGAAACAAAGAAAUCAUUCUUCAAAAAGCAGACUUUUUAUUGUAUGCCAUGUUAAAAAGCCAGACUUAAUAAACAUGGCACGAAGACCAUGUCCUACUAUCUUCACAAGUGGAACUCAUAAUUCUUCUGCUAAAAAAGGAAAGUAUAUAAAGUGCUGUGACUACAGUGCCCUUGUUGAUAAAAGUGAUAGUGCUAAAACUCAUCUUUCAGGCCUGUCUCAGAAUGAGACAGAUUGGACAGAACUUCCCUCCUUGGCUCUAUUGUUGAUAUUUAAACACCUGACAUUGUAUGAAAGAGCAAGAGCUGCUCAGGUGUGUUGCAGUUGGCAAAAAAUUUACCACAUGCCCCAGUUGUGGCAGUCCUUUGAUUUUGUUAUAGCUCACCCUCAGUGGUCUUCUCUCCAGCCCACACCUCCAGCCUUAAUUCACUAUAUUCUCAAACACCAUGCCCAGCACCUUAGGUUUGUUACAUUCAAAGUAGACAGUUGUAGGGAGUCUGCUGAAACUGCAUGCCAAAUUCUAUCCCAACUGGUACAUUGCUCCUUAAAAACUCUUCAGUUGAUGUCAUCUGCUAAACCGUCCUUCCUUCAGCUGGAUCCCAGUCAGUUUGUCUCUGCCUUGACAUUAGUCAUUGACAAGUGCCAUUCCCUAUCUUCCCUAGCUAUUGAAGAGACUCCUGUUGAUGAUCCAUCAUUACAACUCUUGGCCACUAACAGCAGCAAUUCUUUGGAAUUCCUUGAGAUGAAGAGCUGUCCCCGAGUUUCUGCCAGAGGUAUCCAGGCUGUUGCUGACCACUGUCAUCGGCUUUGUGAACUUUCACUCAAUUAUCAUCUUCUAAAUGAUGAUCUCCUGCUGGCACUUUCAACUGAAGAACAUGCUAUUCUUAAAUUUCUUCGAGUUGAAAUAUCCUCAGAAGAAGAUGUACAGAUUCAUCACAUCACUAUGUCCUUGGCUGCACAACUUCGGCUUCUUUUGGAAGAGAUCAUUCAGGCGUGAAUGUGAACUACUCCUAAUACCUUCAUCGCGUAUUAUCAGCAUUACCUGGCUGUAUCUUCCCUUAGUGGAUAUCGUCUCCCUCCUGUGGCAAUUCUACACACGUCAGUUCACCUGUGACUAUGGCUUUAUCAGUUCAUCACAUAGCUCCAGAAAGUUGGGAAGGUUUAAUUAACCACUCACCGGCCAUGGCCUUGGUUAUGUAUGUUUUUGUAAGCCAGGACGAUAAUCUUGGUGAGUUUUUUGGCAGUAUUAUCCCC